GUAUUGUUGAGGACACACAAAUUCUUAAGGACUCAGUUUCAGUGUGCAAAACAAAUUAUUCUGAAAUUAUAUUGGACUAGUUCACCAAUGUUCAGAGACUAUGGCAUUUAUGUUGCUGAAUCUCUGUGCUCCUGCCCUUUUCCUGUGUCUUCUGAAAGCUGGGAGUAUCAGAGCUCAGUGCACACAGCCAGAGGCGGACUUACCCAUUAGGCAAAGGUAGGCGACCACCUUGCUCCCC
Molecule: long non-coding RNA, 238 nt
Organism: Sinocyclocheilus rhinocerous
Lineage: Eukaryota; Metazoa; Chordata; Actinopteri; Cypriniformes; Cyprinidae
Exons: 3
Source: RefSeq, a predicted model, not a curated record